Molecule: ribosomal RNA, 444 nt
Filed under: uncultured bacterium
Lineage: Bacteria
Description: bacterial SSU rRNA
Rfam family: Bacterial small subunit ribosomal RNA
Source: RNAcentral
CGGUACCUGCAGAAGAAGCCCCGGCUAACUACGUGCCAGCAGCCGCGGUAACACGUAGGGGGCAAGCGUUGUCCGGAUUUAUUGGGCGUAAAGAGCUCGUAGGUGGCUAAGUAAGUCGGGUGUCAAAUCCCCAGGCUCAACCUGGGUCUCCACCCGAUACUGCUUUGGCUAGAGUCCGGUAGGGGAGCGUGGAAUUCCUGGUGUAGCGGUGAAAUGCGCAGAUAUCAGGAGGAACACCAGCGGCGAAGGCGGCGCUCUGGGCCGGUACUGACACUGAGGAGCGAAAGCGUGGGUAGCAAACAGGAUUAGAUACCCUGGUAGUCCACGCCGUAAACGUUGGGCACUAGGUGUGGGGUCUAUUCAACGGACUCCGUGCCGUCGCUAACGCAUUAAGUGCCCCGCCUGGGGAGUACGGCCGCAAGGCUAAAACUCAAAGGAAUUGAC